Molecule: ribosomal RNA, 383 nt
Filed under: uncultured eukaryote
Lineage: Eukaryota
Description: partial 18S ribosomal RNA
Rfam family: Eukaryotic small subunit ribosomal RNA
Source: RNAcentral
CAAUAGCGUAUAUUAAAGUUGUUGCAGUUAAAAAGCUCGUAGUUGGAUUUCUGGUGGGAGCGAUCGGUCUGGCGCUUAGCGCGAGUACUUGCAUCGUCUCCGGCCAUCCUUGGGGAGAGUCUGUCUGGCAUUAGGUUGUCGGGCAGAGGAUCCUCAUCGUUUACUGUGAAAAAAUUAGAGUGUUCAAAGCAGGCUUAUGCCGUUGAAUAUACUAGCAUGGAAUAAUAAGAUAGGACUUUGGUACUAUUUUGUUGGUUUGCGCACCAAAGUAAUGAUUAAUAGGGACAGUUGGGGGUAUUCGUAUUCCGUUGUCAGAGGUGAAAUUCUUGGAUUUACGGAAGACGAACUACUGCGAAAGCAUUUACCAAGGAUGUUUUCAUUAA